This 236-nucleotide ribosomal RNA is filed under the name uncultured bacterium. RNAcentral's name for it is "partial 16S ribosomal RNA". It matches the Rfam family "Bacterial small subunit ribosomal RNA", at positions 118 to 354 of the family's 1533-position model. The record is from RNAcentral.
UGAGCAAUCCGCCCUUCUCUUUGGAAUAAGCGUGGGAAACCGCGUCUAAUGCCGAAUACGACCUCCUUUCGCAUGAUCGGAGGUGGAAAGCUCCGGCGGAGAAGGAUGAGCUCGCGGCCUAUCAGCUAGUUGGUGUGGGUAAUGGCCCACCAAGGCGACGACGGGUAGCCGGCCUGAGAGGGUGACCGGCCACACUGGGACUGAGACACGGCCCAGACUCCUACGGGAGCAGCAGG